RNAcentral lists this long non-coding RNA (5572 nucleotides) under Homo sapiens (human). RNAcentral describes it as "HSALNT0013641". Lineage: Eukaryota; Metazoa; Chordata; Mammalia; Primates; Hominidae. The record is from RNAcentral.
AGGGAUCUAGAGAGACCAGGAAAAGGGACUUUGUGGUGGAGCCAUAGUUCCCUCCUUCCUCAAGCUGCUAGACUAACUACUGCUUAAGAGCACAGAUGCUGCACUAGACUGUCUGGGUUCAAAUCCAGCUUUGCAAUAUUCUAACUCUGGGACCUUCGGUGAGUUAAUUAACCUCUCUGUGUCUGUCUCCUGAUCUGUAAGAAAGGAGGAUAAUAAUAUUAACAAUCUCAUAGGGUUGCUAUGAGUAACAAAUGAGUCAGCACAUGCAAAACAUGUAGCACAGUGCCUGGCACAGAAAGAACACUGAAAGGAUUCUUUGUUUUUAUCUUCAUACAGGCCACUGCCUAUCCAUUAUAUUCCCUGCCUUUUCACCAUAAGGAACAAUUCCUCUAGGCUGAGAAUUGCUUUUUUCUGGUAUUACGUGUUAGAUUGUAAAUACUGGUGACACAUAAGGAUUACAAACAUUUAAUCUUGUUUUGUGUUAAUAUUUGUUUAUGAAAGACACCAUUAAAACAGAGGGUGGAGGAAAUCGGAAGAGGUCAGAGAAGAGCAAAAGAGGAACAGUGUGUUGGGUGUGGUCCCUGAGUGCUAUCAAGUAGAGGCUUCUCUGAGGGCAGGUCAUGACUCUCUACACAGCCAGAGCCCACAUGUAGACACACAGUACCCUGGGUUGGGGAGGAGGACAGGGAAUUGGGCACCCAGGGAGGCAAAGGGAGAGACUGAAGACCCACUUUGCCAAGCAUCAGCUCCAGAGUCAAGUGAGGAAGCCUCUGGAGGAAGCUCUGGUCUGAGCUGUGCUACACAUUAAUUAGAUGGUCUCGGCAAGUUGCUUUAUGUUUCUGGACUUUGAUGGUUCAUUGUUCAGUUGGAUGCAACCCCUUUUCUACCUUCCUCAUGGGGUUAUUUGCACAAGGAUCUGCUACACCGAAUUCUGCAAUUUCUUGGCUAUUGAGCAACAGAGACAAAUGGUUAAAAAAUAAAGCCAUAUAUGAAAAAUCGAAAUGAGGCAUAUCUGGCCUCAUACUGCCUCUUGCCAUCUCUGUUCUGUGCUGUGUGCCUGUGCACGGGCUCUCUCUAUCACUGAUGCUCUCUUUCUCUCUCACUCUUUCUCAUGCAUUCUCUGUCUUUCUCAUUCUCUCUGAUUUUCUCUCCCCCCUCAUUUUCUCUCUCUGUUUCGCUUUCUGGCACACACACACACUUACACACUCUCCUAUACAUUCACUUCCUUUUAUUUUGCCUUCACUAAAGAUGCCAAGGUUGCUACAAAACAAAAAGCUCAGGGCAGUCUAGAAAGGCAGGGACCCACUGGUGAGGUCUCCAGGUAAAUGGUGUCCUUUAUAAAUGUUGCAAAGCAAUUGCCAAGACAAAAAGCUUCAGAACAUAAAAACGUUGUAGACAAGAAAAAUAACUGAUGUGGGAUUUUCUAGAUGAGAAGUAAAGGGGUCUGGUGUCCAAAGUGGCUGCCUCUCAAGUUCUGGGUCAGGGCCAGAAUCCAGUCUCUGGACACCCCGUCCAGUGUCUUUCACAUGAUGCCAUUUAUACUAUUUAAUAUUCUUUUUAUGAUGAUUGUGAAUGUGGGAUUGGCUUAGAUUUGACUACAACUUUCUGUAACUUGCUAGAAAAGGUUCACCUUCCUGCACCCAUGCAGGGUUUAAAAUGGAGCCACACAUCCAUGAAUCAAGUUUACUUACCAGAAAAUUCCUCCCUCAGCUUUGGUCUGAAGGCCUUGUCCAAGGCCCUGAUCUCCUUCAGCUCCUUCUCCUCCACCAAGAGGCGGAUGAUCCUCUAACCCAGAAACCCUCCUGCUCCUGUCACAAGGCAGCUCCAGCCUGUCAUUGCCAAUCCAAUAUUGCAGGAAACACUCGCCAGGAAACAGAAGAUGCUGGGGAGCAGAUCUGAUUCUAGAUUGACCCUGGAGAGGGCUGAAAACGAGAUCAAAUGGUUAUAUACUCACACAAAUGCUUUAUUUUCCUCCACCCCAUUUUUUUUGGCAAAAAUUCCAUGUCUUCACCAUUGCCAGAAGUAGCUAAAAGAAAAUAAAGAAACUCCAACUGUUAGAUUAUUAAAAAGCUGGAUAGAAGAGUCAGAGUGCUGGUCACUUCAUCCCCUAAGGUAGCCCUGGAGUUCUAUGUUCUGUGGCUCCUGGCUUUCCCCUUAUCACUUUGAACUCCUGCCACAUACUCAUUGCUCCUGUCUCUUCCAGUAUGCCUUUUCUCAGAAGAAAAGUGACCUUUAAUGUAUAUCUCUAAUUCUUCCCAGGAACAGGAAGAGAAGUCCAAUUGUAAGGCUGUAGUGUGGUAAAGGGUCUUAGGUUUAGCCUUAACAGGACACUAGUUGGUUGAUUCCAGUUGUCUGGGAUCUGCAAUCUGUGAUCUUAAACUAGACUGAGAGAAAUCUCCAAGUGUAAUGUGAACUUUGCCUUUGUGCAGUAAAUAUGUUUGGAGGGAAAUCCACAUGAGCCCAUUCUCUCCUCUCUCAGAGUGUCAUUUGAAAUGCUGCUGCAGUCUUGCAAAGUUUAGAAAUUUGUAAUGGUGACAGCUCCAAUUACUGUUUUAUGGAGUUGACUUUCUUUCCCACUCAAUAUAUCCAAAACCUCAGUUGCCAUUUUACCCUGGAGAGCUCUGGGUUCCUAGAUGAAGAACAUCAUUGAAGGAAGGCUGUCUAGUGAUAGCCACUUAAUUAUAUGGCCUGUACUGUUGCUGUCAGUUACUACGGCAUGAACGAAGGGGGUCAAAUGUAGAAAGGAAGACAAAGACAAAAGGAUAUGUUUUAAAACAAGAGGUCAGGGGGCUCCUUGCUUCUAGUGAGCAAAGGCAGCUCUGAGCUUCUAAAGCCCUUUGUAUUUAUGAGGUAGAAAGAGCAGGUAGGGAGAGAUAAUGGUUGGUCAGCUGCUUGAUUUAUCACAGGUACACAUAAUUGCUUUCUUUAUACAACAGCUUCAGAGGUUCCUAUAGAUAAUCACAAGGAACACUGCACUGGGGGUGUGACGGCCUUCAGCACCCCUUCUGGCAGCAGACAUAGUUUGUCAGUUUUAAAACGUCCUGCUUUCAUGAGAACAGUUUUCUGUUUGCUCAAAUAGCCUCCAGUGGUAUACUGAGUUGGUCACGACCCUCAUUCUUUUUGGCCUGUAACACUGUACCACAAGAGUGGGGAUUUGUGGUUGUAUGCCCCAAUGACUCUUAUCAUAGAUGUUUGAACUUUUCCCAUAUUUUUGGGUACAAAACCAUUCUCAGCAAAUUUCUGAACUGAAGAUGUUGUGAAUGCUCCUUGAGCCUAUGCCAGAGAACUGCCCAAAUUUCACCACCAUAAGCUCUCCAAGACACUUUCCUCUAUCUAAAAAAAGAGGUGUAAUUUAUAUUCAUUAACAUGCCCAGAUCUCAAGUGUUCAGUUCAAUGAACAUUGACAGUUAUAUAUGUCCAUGUAAGUAGCAACCCAAAAAUGUAUAGGUCAUUUUCGUCACUGCAGACAGUUCUUUUCUGCCUGUUAUUGGCUAAUUCCCUGCCCUACUCCCAAUCUACCUGGUAGGCAACUACUUUCUGAUUUUUAUUCCCACAGAAUUCUUAUUUUAUCCCUAUAUUUUCUUAUUUAUUCUUCUAAGAUCUCUGUGGUUCUGGAUAUAUAUUUAAAUAUAAAAUCAUUCUGAAAUGAAUUUUUGUGCAUGGAGUACAGAAGGAUUGACCAUUGAUUGUCUCUAUUGUUUGUUCAUUUUUCUAUUUCAUGAUUUUCUUUGUUUUUAUUAUCAGCUUAUGUUUAUUAACUUGGGGGUUGUUUUACUCCUUUUUUUCAGGGUUCUUAUUAUAAAAGCAUAUAUAAUUGACUUUAGUCCUUUGCUCAUUUCCACUACAGGCAUUUAAAGUUGUAAGUUUCUCUCUAAGCACUGUGUCAGCUGCAGCCAACAUUUUGAUGCAUCGGGUUAUCAUCACUCAGUUAAUGAUGUUUUGAAUUUUUUCUUGUGAGUUCGUCUUUGACCCAAGUGACCGAUACCAACAGAGUAUGUAGCUUGUUUUCUGAAAUUGGGAAUCUUCUAGAUAUCUUAUUGUUUUGAAUUUCUAAUUAAAUACUACUGUGGCCAUAGCAUAUACUCUGUAUGAUUUUGAUCCUUGUGUAUAUAUUGAGACUUGUUUUAUGGUGCAGCAUAUGGUCUGUGUUGGUGAACAUCCCAUAAACACUUGAAACGAAUGCUUUCUGCAGUUGUUGGAAGUAAUAUUCUACAAAUGAUUUGCUUUGAAACCCCACUCUAGGUCUUGCCCUCCUCCCAUGUUGAAAACAUUCAACUGCUACUUGGGACCUGACUACCAAUGCUUCAAACCCACUUGCCUAGAAAAGGUUGGCCCUGUGCUGCAAGAUGUAGCAGCUUGUUCUCUGAUAGCUACAGGCCCUGGGUCUUGCUGAGACAUGUGGAGCACUAUCUGAACCACCCAGGUGCAUCACACACCUUUGCCUGCUAUAGCACAUGCUAGAGUGCACCUUACAGAUCCCAUCACCUUUCAGAUGGGGCCAGACAUUCCCUAUGCUGUUGAGAGUUCUGGAGGCUGAUAGAUUUCAGCCAGUGUCUCUUGGAGUCUCUGAGUGGAACCGAUAAAUAAAAGCCCUAAAGAAAGUGAGAAAUUAAACAAAGGGCAAGACUGAUGGGGGCCACACUACUAAAUUUCUUUUGUUUUUAAACAGCUUUACUGAGGUAUAAUUGACAUAACAUUCGCUUGUUUUAGGUGUGCAGUUAAAUUAUUUUCAGUAAAAUUUUAGACUUGUGUGACCGUCACCAUGAUCCUGUUUUGCAACAUUUCUAUCAUUCCUAAGAAAUCCCCCAUGUUCAUCAGUCACCACCACUUUUUCCCAGUCCCCAGCUCCAGGCAACCUCUAAUUGACUUUCUGACUCUACAGAUUUGCCUUUUCUGGAGACCAUAUAAAUGAAAUCAUGCAAUAUGUGGUCUUUUGUAUCUGUCUUCUUUCAUUUACUUUAAUAUACUUUUAUGGUUCAUGUAUGUGGCAGCACAUAUCAAUAUUUUAAUCCUGUUAGGUGACAAAUCCUAUUAAAUUGGAUGGAUAGCUCCCAUUAGUUUAUUCAUUUAUCAGUUGAUACAUAUUUGAGUGUUUCCACUUUAUGGACAAUUAUGGAUAAAGUUGCUAUGAAUAUUCACAUUCAUGUGUUGUGUGGACAUAGGUUUUUUUCUUCUGGGUAGACAGCUAGAAGUGAUAGUGCUAGGUCAUAUGGUAAAUAUAUCUCAACAUUUUAAGAUACUGCCAAACUGGUUUCCAACGUGACUACAUGUCCCAUCAACAAUGCGUGAGUAUUUUAGUUUUUCCACGUCAUUAUUUCACUUCCCCCAGGUGUUGCUGUCCUUUUUUAUUAUAGCAUUCUAGUGGGUAAGAAGUGGUGUCUCACUGUAGUUUUGAUUUGCAUGUCCCUGCUGACUGAUGAUGCUGACCAUCUUUUCAUGUAUUUUAUUGUCUAUUCCUACACCUUUUUGAUGAAAUGGUUAUUCAAAUAUUUUGCCUAUUUUAAAAUUGGGUUAUUUAUCUUUUUGUUGCGUAGUUGUAAGUGUAUUUCAUAUUCUGGAUAUGAGUCCUGUA